RNAcentral lists this unclassified non-coding RNA (201 nucleotides) under plant metagenome. Its description in RNAcentral is "partial contains small subunit ribosomal RNA, internal transcribed spacer 1, and 5.8S ribosomal RNA". The record is from RNAcentral.
UCUCCGUUGGUGAACCAGCGGAGGGAUCAUUAUCGAGUUUAUAACUCCCAAACCCUAUGUGAACUUACCACUUGUUGCUUCGGCGCGCGCUUCGGUGCCGCCGAGGACACCUAAACUCUUUGUUUUUAUAAGCAUUUCUGAGUGGCCGAAAGGCAAAAUACAAAUGAAUCAAAACUUUCAACAACGGAUCUCUUGGUUCUG